RNAcentral lists this long non-coding RNA (376 nucleotides) under Gallus gallus (chicken). The record is from RNAcentral. Lineage: Eukaryota; Metazoa; Chordata; Aves; Galliformes; Phasianidae.
CGUCGAUGUUGGUGCUGUUCAGUUUCUCCUUCAGCAGGGAGGAGAGGAAGUUCCACACCUUGGACUCCUCCAACUCCCUCAGCUCCUCCUCGCUGCCCACCUGGGUGACGCGGAUCACGCGGUCGCUGUUCACCUGGAUCUGCAUCCUGGUCCAGAUGUCCCUCCAGCACGGGCUGUGCACGUUGGUGUAGCAGAAGUGGUGCGAGGCGGCGCAGCAGCACGCAGAGCCCUCCUGCAGAGCGGUCACCUUCUCCUUAACAUCUUCACAGCGCAGAGCUGCCCCGCCUAGCGGAAGCGGCAGAAGGAGCAGCAGCAGCGCGCCCAGGAGCCGCCGCUGCCCCGGGACCGCUUUCAUCCCUCCCGCCAUGGCGUCUCC